AAUGGUGAACACUAUGUUAGAAUUGUGGACGUCGUUUGCUAUCGAGGGGAGACCCACGACUUCGGCUUUUAGCUGCGACACGAAGUGGGAACCGUUUUCGAUCGCGACGGACAACGACCUUCGCAUCGGAAAUAUGGCCGAUCUCGCUCUCACCGUUGAAUAUUCUUAUUUCAAAGAACGUCUGCAGUUUUGGGAUGACUUGAAAGCUAAGGUGCCGUUAUAAUCAGCGCGCUGAGUUUACGCGAUCCCUCAUUUUAUCAUAAAAUAUCUGGAACGCACGUCUGGUACAUUGCUUCAUAUUGGCAAGUUUUUUGCAUUUUAUUGUAAUCCUCAAGGCAUGUGAAUCAUUCUAGCAUAGUUCAUGCUGAGGGUAGAUAUUAUAAUUUUUGUUAACGAAAAACAUGAAGACGAAAGUAAUGAAUGAAC
This 426-nucleotide long non-coding RNA is filed under the name Neodiprion pinetum (white pine sawfly). Its description in RNAcentral is "uncharacterized LOC124224843". The record is from RNAcentral. Lineage: Eukaryota; Metazoa; Arthropoda; Insecta; Hymenoptera; Diprionidae.